UACGGAGGGUGCGAGCGUUAUCCGGAUUCACUGGGUUUAAAGGGUGCGUAGGUGGGUAUGUAAGUCAGUGGUGAAAUCUCUGAGCUUAACUCAGAAACUGCCAUUGAUACUAUGUUUCUUGAAUUUUCUGGAGGUCAGCGGAAUAUGUCAUGUAGCGGUGAAAUGCUUAGAUAUGACAUAGAACACCAAUUGCGAAGGCAGCUGGCUACAGGGAUAUUGACACUGAGGCACGAAAGCGUGGGGAUCAAACAGG
Molecule: ribosomal RNA, 253 nt
Filed under: uncultured bacterium
Lineage: Bacteria
Description: partial 16S ribosomal RNA
Rfam family: Bacterial small subunit ribosomal RNA
Source: RNAcentral